RNAcentral lists this unclassified non-coding RNA (236 nucleotides) under plant metagenome. RNAcentral's name for it is "partial contains small subunit ribosomal RNA, internal transcribed spacer 1, and 5.8S ribosomal RNA". The record is from RNAcentral.
UUUCCGUAGGUGAACCUGCGGAAGGAUCAUUACUGAGUGAGGGCCCCUCGGGGUCCAACCUCCCACCCGUGUUUAACGAACCUUGUUGCUUCGGCGGACUCGCCUCACGGCCGCCGGGGGGCAUCUGCCCCCGGGCCCGCGCCCGCCGAAGCCACCUGUGAACGCUGUCUGAAGUAUGCAGUCUGAGACAAUUAUUAAAUUAAUUAAAACUUUCAACAACGGAUCUCUUGGUUCCG